UGUUAUGUUAAUCGGGGUCAGUAUAACUAGAGCCAAGGCCAUCGAUGCUCCACCAAAGUAUUUGCAAAACCUCGAAAUUUGCGGACAAAUUGUGCGGAGAUGAACUGC
Telopea speciosissima is the source of this 108-nucleotide long non-coding RNA. RefSeq lists it as uncharacterized. NCBI's taxonomy places the organism in Eukaryota, Viridiplantae, Streptophyta, Magnoliopsida, Proteales, Proteaceae. The record is from RefSeq and is a predicted model, not a curated record. The transcript is spliced from 3 exons.